GGCAGUUUGAUGCUGAUUGCCAUCUCAUUUCACCUCUAGUUGAAAGAAGCAUUUAUUUUGACGUUCAGCGGCGCAUUUUUUAAAAUCGAGGAAGAGAGAAUAUUGGUUGGUUGCGAGAUACAGAAGAAUAAGAACAUACAGAAGAAGAGAUAAUAUUUCUACAGCUCCACGAGCUCUUUUCGCGGUUGGCAAAAGCAUGGUAUUUGAAGUAAAUUUUAAGUUUUAGCAUCGGGUUUAGAUUUCCUGAAAACUUUUACGAAAGUUGAGUUGCUAUAUGUAUCAAGGGAUGACACAGAGACCUCUGGCUCUGAGCAAGACAGUGAGCCAGAGCUGCCUGGAGAUGUCAUCGAGCACCAGAUAUGCUGUUCCAAAAUGACCCAACUUUAAACUACACAUUUUAGUUAGCAGCUGUUAGUAUCUAAUCUUGUAGAUCCCUUAAUUAUACAUUUCCAUAGAAAGAUGACACAUUAUUUAAUGUGUAUUUCAGAUAUUUCAAGAUCCAGAGAAGAAGGUCCUGUACAGCUGUGUUUGAAAACAUUUCACAGAACUCAGCUUGGUACUAGGAACAGGCCUUUCAACAGCUGGUAUAAGGACAAUUCAUGGCUUGAAUAUUCUGUAAAUCAAGAUUUGACUUAUUGUUUCUCCUGUAGACAUUUUUCUCUGCUCAAUACACCUGAAUCUGCCUUCACAUCACAGUCAGGUUUUUGUAACUGGAAAAAAAAGGGUCUGUUUAAAGAUUCUGGGUUUAAGCUCCAUUCGAAGGCAGAGCAUCAUAUCAAUGCUAUGUAUGCUUGGAAUCAGCAUAACAGGGCUAUUGACAGCAACUCAUCAAUGUUAGAUGUCAUAAAUGAGGACCGGAAAAGAAAGUGGAGAAAAACUGUACUUACAUUAAAACUAUUGCAGAUGUGCUCCUAUUAACUGCCACUCAAAAUAUGGCACAGAGUUCACCGAGAGUCUAAUGACUCACAACAAGGGACAUUUUUUGACAGUAUUAGAAGAAAUAGCAAAGCAUGACACUCAGAGAAAAGGAUGAAUGCAUGUGGCAAUGCUAAGUACACAAGCCACGAAAUCCAGAACAAAGUUCUUGAGGGCUUAGCUGAGAUGGUACAAAGUGAAGUAAUAAGAGAAUUAAAAGAAAGUGAAGUUUUUAGUGUAAUUGCAGAUGAAACCAAAGAUUUAAAGAAAAAAUAACAAAUGUCUUUAGUUGUGACGUACUGUUACAACGGGGCCAUCCACAAAAGCUUGUUACACUUUCAGUCAGCUGAAAGCUUAGAUGCAGCAGGUCUCACAAAAAUGAAAAUUGAUUGGCUUGAAAAACAUGUUCUGGACUACAGAAAUAAUCUUGUGGGGCAAGGCUACGACAGUGCAUCCAUCAUGAGCGGAAAGUAUUCUGGUGUGUCCGCACGGAUUAAAAACAGUGCAAGAUUUGCAUUUUAUGUGCACUGUAAUGCGCAUUGUUUGAAUUUGGCUCUUGUGGAUGCUGUAAAAUCAGUGCCUGAGGCAGUUAAAGCUUCUGCAGGAGAGCAAAAAAGUUCUAGCUUUGUAUCUGGCUUGUAUGUUCAUCUCAAGUGGCUUGCAGUUCAGAAAGAGCUGUAUCCACAGCAGCAGUCCCUCUGGUCAGGAUUAAAACCUGCACUGGUGACUAGCUAGUAUACUGACAUUCUAAAAUUAUACAUCCAAGGGGUAUCAUGUCACACAGAUUUAAUUUGGUCUUGAUUAGGCCAAUUCCAAAACUUUUCUUUGCUAUUAGUUAACAUAAUAUAUUUUAGCAUAAAUAUGAUACUGUAAGUUUAAUAUCGAUGGGUGACAAAAAGUCAAUUUCUUGAUACCUGGUAUGUCAAAUUGCAGUGUUUUUUGGAAAUAAACUGCAAUUUAUGU
Long non-coding RNA from Oncorhynchus tshawytscha (Chinook salmon), 1878 nucleotides. The record is from Ensembl. NCBI's taxonomy places the organism in Eukaryota, Metazoa, Chordata, Actinopteri, Salmoniformes, Salmonidae.